UUCACUGACGCAUUGAAUCAUUGUUAAAACUGUUUCUCCCGCGGUAAAACUGGAGAACAUAUAACAAAAAUAGCGCUGGAUAAAGUGUAUAUUUUUUUAUCAGCACUCCAUGGAAACAAAACUUACAAAUGCAUCCUGUCGUUUGUCAUCGACGAAGGCGUUUUUAAUCAGUUCAACAUCUGCACGUGCUACAGAAGCCCGCGGCUGCAUCAGUGGACAGUAAGUGAUUGGGAGCACAGAGGGCCCGUCACCUCACGAGCGAGGUUAAAGACGCCAUGCGGCAACAUCGCAGAUUAAUCCCAGCGUCUCCGCCCGUCAGCGAGAGAUUUACGCGCUCUCUGCAGUAAGAAAGAGGCAGGAUUCUUUGAUCAAUAGAAAGUUCAGAAUAUCACUGCAUUAUUCACUGAAGCCGAAGCAGCUGGUGCCGAAUGUGAAACCUUUUGUUCGUCUGCUUGAGAAUCUCAAAAUACCAUCCCAAUCAUGGCAUCGUUCAGAACAUCUGCAUUUGUUACAGUUGUGAGCCAGACUUCGGUCUUGACGGUUAUCGAUUGCAUAGGAUCUGACAUUAGCAGAAAAUCUCAACUACAGCUUCCUAUUGACGAACAGGCCACAAUAUACACCAUUAGUGCUUCAAACUGUGAUUUCAUAAAUUGUCAUAGGCCUGUCAUCAAAAGCGCCACUGCAUACAUGAAGUCUGGUAUGGAGCGAUCAAAGCGAUUAUCGUGAUAGCACUGCAUUAUUCACUGGAGCAGAAGCAGCUGGUGUCGAAUGCGAAACCUUCAGUUGGGACUGCUUGAGAAUCUCAAAAUAUCUUCUCGAUCGUGGCCAUCGUCCAGAACCGUCUGCGUUUGGAACAGUUGCGAGCCAGACAUCUGUUUUGAUGGCCAUCGAUUGCAUGAUAUGCGUAAAAAUCGGAAUAUCUCAACUACAUGACAAACAAGCCGAUUCCGCUUCACAAAAUACAUUGUUAGUGCUUUAAACUGUGAUACAUUGUUGUAGGAGCGUUGUGGUUGAGUACCAGCUGGAUGGAGACUUGGAAACGAACCACAAAGGCCAAAUCGCUACGGGCGCCCAAGCGUGUUUGCCUUCUCUAGAAGUCAGGCUUUUUGCUGUUUGGAAGUCAAACGCCGUUUGGUAUGUGUUUGUUUUUCUGGGUCUGUGUGUGUCUGUCAACACAGACGGCUCUCGAGGGGGGACGGCCGUCCUCCAGCAGACAGCCAAAGGGCUAAUUACGGAAUAAUAAGGAGGGAGAGAGGACACAUGUGCGGGGCUGCAGCAACCCCCACAACACACACCCGUUACGGCGUGCUCAUGUUAGAGGGGGUAUCGUUCCAAAAAAGGGGGGUCCCAAAGGUCCCUCGCGCCCGUCCGCACACCUAUCGCAUCCCUCUGCGCAGGUGCUGAGGGGGCGGAGAGACAAUUUCCAGCAGAUGAUCCUCGCUCACAAAGCCUGCGGCCCCGCAGUCCAUCAAUACCAGGCGGGAGACUGUUAUUGAGCCACCGGUCGGCUCUAUCUAUCACAGGCCGGUGAGGAGCAGGUGCGGGCCGGGCGUGCGCCAUCAGACCCUGACGACGGGAAGCGGCGAGCGCCGAGGGAGGCCCCACAUGCACGUCGCAUGCACACUUUUCCAAUUUGCCAUAAUUAGCCCCCACACGGCCCGGGCUCUGACCGGCGGGAACCGCGGCCUCUGCUCUGGAUCAGCUGCGUUAAACCUCCUGUGACAUCUAAACUCUUAAUUCAUUGCUACAUUAACAGAGUCGAUUAACAUACGCGCGUAUCCCCUUGUGAUCUCUUAACGGGCACCUUGAUAUCAGCCGCCCGUCUGCCCAUCACAGAGAAGCCGUUUAAUUGGAGAGGUGUCACAGAUGAUACACUCCGAACAGCCAAAACAGACACGAAGAUCCCAAAUGUGACCCUCGUUUAGAUGCCAGACGCCUCCGACGGUUAUUUAGAGGAUAUUGCUGGAGAGAUUUCACAGCGUAGCGCGCCGUUUAACCAAUCAACGAAUUAUCAGAUCCACAAUCGGAGGAAUCAGCCAUAUUAGCAGGCAGUUGAAACACAAAUGCGCAGCCCUGAGGGUGCCGAGGAUUUGAUUUGGGAGACGAUAACAGCUCGAUGAACAAGCUCUGCGGUGCGUCUCCGUAGAGGAGCAGAACAUGUGCUGCAUAUCUGCAUAGAUUAGGGCUUCGCUGCUGCGAUUGGGACGUAAACUAAUAGUUGGUUUCAAACCUUGGUUUUGUCACUGCUGUUAUCUGAACAGUGCAAUCUGUUUGAAUCAAACUUUACAGCAGGUCUGUUCUGGUUCUUGCAGACAGCAAGGAAAAACAAUGCUCAAAACAGAUCAAACUAGCUAUAUAAUUGUGUAUAAAUAGGCUUUUAUUGUUGACGUCAAUCAAACUCCACUGUAAUUUGAUGCAAAAUAAAACUACACAAGGCCAAAAAACAUUAAAUACUUUCAAUAAGGAUAAAAAGUUUAAUUAUUAAACGUUUUCUAAACCGUGCAAUGUAUAAGUGCAAGAAUAAGUAUGUUUAGUCUGCAGUGUCACGU
Long non-coding RNA from Ctenopharyngodon idella (grass carp), 2549 nucleotides. RefSeq lists it as uncharacterized. The transcript is spliced from 4 exons. The record is from RefSeq and is a predicted model, not a curated record. Lineage: Eukaryota; Metazoa; Chordata; Actinopteri; Cypriniformes; Xenocyprididae.